GAAAAGACCCGGUGGAGUAAAGUACUCUUAUAACACAAGAAAUGAUUGAAGCAUGGCAGAAUCUAACUAUUGGUGUCCUGGUGGUAGUAAGAUAUUCACUAUGUACUAGCAAUGGUAUCAAGAUAUUCAGCAUAUAUCACCUUUGAAUAGCCUGGAGAAUGACACCAGCAUGGGUGUGAACAGCAAUUGCAGAACAUCCAUGAUGUAAAUGCAGUUUACUUCAUUUAGUUCAGGGCAAAUUCUGAUUUGUGUUUUCAGCUUCAAUGGCUGUUUAUCAGGGAAUAAGAGAACCCAGGCCUUUUAAACACCAUGGAAUCUCUCUGGGAGAUGAAGAUCUUACAAAUUCUCCAGACACGAAAAAAAUAAUCAUGGAACAUGAUGGACAUCAGGUGAUAAAAAUGAAAUACAGAGACUGAACUGAGUAAAUUAAAUAGAAGCUAAUGAAGAAAUGCCUGGAAAUAAAAGUCAGAGAGUCAAGCA
This 480-nucleotide long non-coding RNA is filed under the name Anas platyrhynchos platyrhynchos (common mallard). RNAcentral's name for it is "lncRNA (ENSAPLG00000029739.1)". The record is from RNAcentral. Lineage: Eukaryota; Metazoa; Chordata; Aves; Anseriformes; Anatidae.